AAUAAAUAUAUGCAUAAUUACACUUUUAAGAAAUAUGCUAAACACAAAUGUACUUCUAGUGAAGUUUUAGUAUAUUUGGAUAAAACAUACUUUUUUCAAAACAUGAUUCAUUAAUUGUAAUAAGCUAACAUUGAACUUUCCUCAAGCAUUUCAACAUUAUAUCAUUCCGAUUGCAUAAUAAACUAUUUUUUCAAAGAUUUGCUUAAAAUCUUACGUUUGCAAGUGUUUAUUUACAAUCAACGAGCCGCUCUAAGAGCUGAUUCUUUGUAGCGAACGAGCAGAGCCGAAUCUUCAGACGCAGGCAGGGGUAGGACCGUAAGAGCCGGCUCUAAUAACGGAGCCGAGCCGAAAGAGCCGAAUCUAUUGAAAGAGCCGGACUGCCAUCACUAAAAUGUAGAGCCGGAGCUUGAGCCGAAAGAGCAGAAUCAAUGGAAAGAGCCGGACUGCCCAUCACUACAAACAACGCACGUGACACACGUGACUAAACCUGAUUGGUUGUUGUCAUAGUAACACGUCACGGUGCUAUUUGAAACUUGUCUUGUUCAGUUCAGUUCAGUUCACAGGUGCAUGCGGUUGCUUGCAUUAAACGUAUAAACUGUUAAAUUAGAUGGCGACUCUGCAUUAAACGUAUUUAUUUAAUUAAUCGGCGAUCAUAUUUCACCAGAGGACUAAGAUAAAACAACUCGAUUUAAAAUGUGAGCAGUUUUAGUGGAUCUGACGUCGAGGGAAAAAGUAUUUCGCUUUUUGUUUGGAGAUAAACGAGACAACACGAGGGUAAGUGAUGACAGAUUUUCACAUUUCUUUAUUUAGUUAACUAUUAAGUAAGUAAAACAUUACAUUACAUUUAACCUAGCUUCUUUAUGUAACGUUUUGUCUGUGUUGCGUGUGGUAAUUUAAACAUCUUUAUUUUCUGACUAACGUCAUUAAAUCAUUAAAACCUUUCUUUUUUUUAGCACAGCGACAUAAAUAUGACCAAUCAGAUCCCAAGUAGACGGGAACAAAUGAAGAUAUAGCGCAUAGAAAGACUUAUUCUUGGUGAUCAACUGCUAUUGACAUUUUUUAAUUGGGACAAAUGUGGAGUGAUUCGGAAGAAAAACGUUUGCAACACAUCCAUUCCAGAGUGCUCUGACAGAUAAAACUGACACGCUUGAUGAGGACACAGUCAAAGCUUUAAAAGACCGUGUGAUAAAGCAGUCUUCAAUUACUACGGUGUCUGAUUUGCAAGAAGAAGUCACCCUCCACUUAAACAUGUGACAUCUAAACUGUUUUGUGUUUUAGUUCAGCUUUUUAUAGGUUUAUUUUAAGUUGGUUAAAGGCGGAGUGCACUAUUUUUGAAAGCCAAUGUUAACAUUUGAAAUUACCUAAACAAACAUGCCUCUACCCCAAUAGAAUAUGAACCUUCUUU
This is a long non-coding RNA of Paramisgurnus dabryanus, 1405 nucleotides long. RefSeq lists it as uncharacterized. The record is from RefSeq and is a predicted model, not a curated record. NCBI's taxonomy places the organism in Eukaryota, Metazoa, Chordata, Actinopteri, Cypriniformes, Cobitidae.